CCUACGGGUGGCAGCAGUGAGGAAUAUUGGUCAAUGGACGAGAGUCUGAACCAGCCAAGUAGCGUGAAGGAUGACUGCCCUAUGGGUUGUAAACUUCUUUUAUAUGGGAAUAAAAUGUUCCACGUGUGCGUUUUUGCAUGUACCUUAUGAAUAAGGAUCGGCUAACUCCGUGCCAGCAGCCGCGGUAAUACGGAGGAUCCGAGCGUUAUCCGGAUUUAUUGGGUUUAAAGGGAGCGUAGGUGGAUUGUUAAGUCAGUUGUGAAAGUUUGCGGCUCAACCGUAAAAUUGCAGUUGAAACUGGCAGUCUUGAGUACAGUAGAGGUAGGCGGAAUUCGUGGUGUAGCGGUGAAAUGCUUAGAUAUCACGAAGAACCCCGAUUGCGAAGGCAGCUUACUGGACUGUGACUGACAUUGAGGCUCGAAAGUGUGGGUAUCAAACAGGAUUAGAUACCCUAGUAGUC
Molecule: ribosomal RNA, 460 nt
Filed under: uncultured bacterium
Lineage: Bacteria
Description: partial 16S ribosomal RNA
Rfam family: Bacterial small subunit ribosomal RNA
Source: RNAcentral